This 293-nucleotide ribosomal RNA is filed under the name uncultured bacterium. RNAcentral describes it as "partial 16S ribosomal RNA". It matches the Rfam family "Archaeal small subunit ribosomal RNA", at positions 455 to 747 of the family's 1478-position model. The record is from RNAcentral.
GUGCCAGCAGCCGCGGUAAUACCGGCAGCCCGAGUGAUGGCCGAUCUUAUUGGGCCUAAAGCGUCCGUAGCUGGCUGCGCAAGUCCGUCGGGAAAUCCACUCGCUCAACGAGUGGCCGUCCGGUGGAAUCUCCACACCUUGGGACCGGAAGGCUCGAAGGGUACGGCCGGGGUAGGAGUGAAAUCCUGUAAUCCCGUCCGGACCACCGAUGGCGAAAGCACUCUGAGAAGACGGCUUCGACAGUGAGGGACGAAAGCUAGGGUCUCGAACCGGAUUAGAAACCCCGGUAGUCC